RNAcentral lists this long non-coding RNA (1642 nucleotides) under Camarhynchus parvulus. RNAcentral's name for it is "lncRNA (ENSCPVG00000001887.2)". Lineage: Eukaryota; Metazoa; Chordata; Aves; Passeriformes; Thraupidae. The record is from RNAcentral.
GAGCUCCGCGCUGCCGCCGCCCCCGGCCCGGCCGCGCUUCCGCCCGCGUCAGCUGACUCUGCCAGGCAGCGGCCCGGCCCGGCACCGAGCCCGCGGAGCCUCCGGCGCGGCCACCCGCAGCAUGGCAGGGGCCGUGGUGAGCGGAGCGCAGGUGUCCUAUAUUAGUCAGGACUGUGAAGAAAUUCCAGAAUUCCUAGGAAGGAAAUAUGGGCACAUGGCAAAAAGGCUAGAUCUUAGCUUCAACUUGCUAAGGGAUGCUCUGCUGGUGGAAAUAAUCUUCAGUCCCUAAAAGGAAAGGUUUGCAUGUGAGAUCUUGUGACUGUGCGCUGCUACCAAAGGAGGUAAUGCUGUGCUUUCUUGCUUUGAGGUUGCUCAAGUGUGGUUUCUUUUUGCUAGGUAUAGCCUUGCUAUUUUAUUGUACCUGAAAAACAAAUGUUUUGCAUCAACCUUAUUUGCUAGGAGUGUUUUAUUCUGAGUGUAAGAGAUUGAAGGUUUUUGUUUUCUCUUUUGGAUUCUUUUUGGAGACUGAACUUGCAUGCAUGGGGUUUUCUUGAAGUUUUUAAGCCUUCAUGAGGGAGACUACAUGGAAUUCAUUGGUGAUGAACUAGUGGUUAUUGCAUAGUCAACGAUUUAAAUUGCUGCAUGAUUUUGUGUAAUGCUUGCAGGUUCUGGAGAAACAUUUCAUUAUUGGGCAUAUUUGAGAAAAUUUGUCUUCCUGUUGAGACUGUGUGUGUGAGAGCUUCAAGUAAAACUUAUGUAGUUGUGGGCAGUAAGUUUCUUUGAGGCAUUAAGUUAUCACCUAAGAAAAAUUAUUCUUUGCUUUUAUUAGCUAAACACAUUCCUAACUUUUGCUGAUAUUUAAGGUAUAUAAUGAUGUACUUUGUGGGAUUGAAUAAUUUAAGCUUUGUAGAGCACUGGCGUCUCUUCGUGAUCAAACCAUGUUUGUUUCCUUAUACAAUAAAUGUAGAUAAAGUGACUGCAGAAUUGUUCAUGUGGUUAUUUUAAGGAUGAUGUUAUUAAUUGGUUCUAGUAGGAAGAGUGUUGAGGCUUAAAAGAGAAACAUACGUUGAAUUUGGGUGGUGGAAGAGAGGUCCAUUUUAGUUGCUAAUCCAAGUGCAGAUAAAAGAAUGAGCUUCCUAUUGAGCUUGACAUGAGUUCAGAAUUCAUCAGAUUAGAGACUGUUUUUUGAGAUUUGCAUGGGAUAGUGAAGGGAGGAAACCUGCAGUAAUUUCCAAGUGCUUUAUUAGCUGUUCUUACUGUAUCAUAUAAUGCAAGAAGCACUAAUUAUCAGUCAUAUCAAUUUGAUAUGAAGAAUAAAACUCUGGGCAAAGUUUAAUUCUCUUUGUAGUCAAUAUGAGGGAAAAAUGUGAGCUAAAAAUCUUGGUGUUCUCUAGCGUUGCUAUAUGCGAAAAGCAGAGAUAUCUUAUGGAAUUAUAUGGAGCAGUGCUUGACAAUUCCUAAUGCAUAUUUUAAUGCAAUAAAAAAUAAGGUAGUAAAUUUAAAUAACUAAAGUUUAAACAAAAUAUUUUAUAAUAAUUACAUCCACUGUAAUUGUGAACUCCGAUAUAGUCACAACUAUUUAGCUAAUAGAAUUUAUAAUUGUAGUACUGAAUCCAUCUUUCAUAAAGUAACAUUACUGGUU